This is a long non-coding RNA of Mauremys reevesii (Reeves's turtle), 459 nucleotides long. RefSeq lists it as uncharacterized. The transcript is spliced from 4 exons. The record is from RefSeq and is a predicted model, not a curated record. Lineage: Eukaryota; Metazoa; Chordata; Testudines; Geoemydidae.
CAAGAAGGGUGCCUGUUCUGCCGGUGUCUUUAGGAUGUGUGGGCAUCUUAUUGGAGACUCCAAAGUCGUCUUGGGUCAGCUGUAGCUUUCUUGACGAAGCAGGGAGUCUCUGGGAUGAAAAGUUUAGUCAACCAUUCCAUCAACGAUAACACAGGAAACCCGAUUCCAUGUCUCCCUCAGGGAAUCCUUAAAUGCCGCUGGUCUUCAUCCUCUCUCUAGCCUACUUCCCCUUGCCUCUCUGCUUACUUGAAGAGUCCACAAGAUAGGGCUAGGCUAUGCCAGCUAAGCAGCACCAGCAGAGUAUUCCACCAUGUGCCUCAGCCCCUGGAGAUCCCAUGCUGGGACAGGAAAUGGGACAAAUUCUCCAAGUGAGCGACAAGAGAAAAUGGUGCCGUACGCAGUUUAAAAGCAGCACCUUCGUCAGUUAACCAGUGCUUCUGAUGAAGGGUGAUGAUAUGA